CGGGCAGCAGCGCAGUUGGUAGCGCGCUUGGUUCGGGACCAAGAGGUCGCCGGUUCAACUCCGGCUUGCCCGA
This 73-nucleotide transfer RNA is filed under the name Spirochaetaceae bacterium. RNAcentral's name for it is "tRNA-Pro". It matches the Rfam family "tRNA". From Rfam's summary of the family: Transfer RNA (tRNA) molecules are approximately 80 nucleotides in length. Their secondary structure includes four short double-helical elements and three loops (D, anti-codon, and T loops). Lineage: Bacteria; Pseudomonadati; Spirochaetota; Spirochaetia; Spirochaetales; Spirochaetaceae. The record is from RNAcentral.